This 462-nucleotide ribosomal RNA is filed under the name uncultured bacterium. RNAcentral describes it as "partial 16S ribosomal RNA". It matches the Rfam family "Bacterial small subunit ribosomal RNA", at positions 28 to 507 of the family's 1533-position model. The record is from RNAcentral.
GACGAACGUUGGCGGCGUGCUUAACACAUGCAAGUCGAGCGGUAAGGCCUUUCGGGGUACACGAGCGGCGAACGGGUGAGUAACACGUGGGUGAUCUGCCCUGCACUUCGGGAUAAGCCUGGGAAACUGGGUCUAAUACCGGAUAUGACCUCCUAUCGCAUGGUGGGUGGUGGAAAGAUUUAUCGGUGCAGGAUGGGCCCGCGGCCUAUCAGCUUGUUGGUGGGGUAAUGGCCUACCAAGGCGACGACGGGUAGCCGACCUGAGAGGGUGACCGGCCACACUGGGACUGAGACACGGCCCAGACUCCUACGGGAGGCAGCAGUGGGGAAUAUUGCACAAUGGGCGAAAGCCCGAUGCAGCGACGCCGCGUGAGGGAUGACGGCCUUCGGGUUGUAAACCUCUUUCAGCAGGGACGAAGCGCAAGUGACGGUACCUGCAGAAGAAGCACCGGCUAACUACGUG